GAUGAACGCUGGCGGCGUGCCUAAUACAUGCAAGUCGAGCGAACAGAUGAGAAGCUUGCUUCUCUGAUGUUAGCGGCGGACGGGUGAGUAACACGUGGGUAACCUACCUAUAAGACUGGGAUAACUCCGGGAAACCGGGGCUAAUACCGGAUAAUAUUUUGAACCGCAUGGUUCGAUAGUGAAAGACGGUUUCGGCUGUCACUUAUAGAUGGACCCGCGCCGUAUUAGCUAGUUGGUAAGGUAACGGCUUACCAAGGCGACGAUACGUAGCCGACCUGAGAGGGGGGUCGGCCACACUGGAACUGAGACACGGUCCAGACUCCUACGGGAGGCAGCAGUAGGGAAUCUUCCGCAAUGGGCGAAAGCCUGACGGAGCAACGCCGCGUGAGUGAUGAAGGUCUUCGGAUCGUAAAACUCUGUUGUUAGGGAAGAACAAAUUUGUUAGUAACUGAACAAGUCUUGACGGUACCUAACCAGAAAGCCACGGCUAACUACGUGCCAGCCGCCGCAGUAA
RNAcentral lists this ribosomal RNA (514 nucleotides) under uncultured bacterium. RNAcentral's name for it is "partial 16S ribosomal RNA". It matches the Rfam family "Bacterial small subunit ribosomal RNA", at positions 28 to 523 of the family's 1533-position model. The record is from RNAcentral.